This 20049-nucleotide long non-coding RNA is filed under the name Prunus persica (peach). RNAcentral's name for it is "long non-coding RNA (PPER_LNC007850)". The record is from RNAcentral. Lineage: Eukaryota; Viridiplantae; Streptophyta; Magnoliopsida; Rosales; Rosaceae.
AGGAAACAUAAACUCUUACGAGAAGAUAUUCUUCCGGCAAUGGCUUCAAAUAGAAAAGUACAGCGAUUGCUUAAUGAAUUCAUGGAUCUCAUUUCCGAAUAUGAAAGCGCUGAAACAAAUCUAGAGAAAAGGUCUCAAACUUCACCAACAGCACGUCCACCAGCAGCUGAUCAAAUGGACUCAUCUGGGACAAAUCAAAAGGACUCUGUCCCUGCUGCAACAGAUCAAAAGAAGUCUGUUCCUGCUUCAAUUGAUGAAAAGGACUCCUCCCAGUUAGCAGCAGAUAAAGAGAAUUCUGCUCAAGCGGCAGAAGAUACAGUUAAUUCAGAUCCACAAAUGAUCAAUCAAGUUAGUCUUGCUCCACAAGAUGCAGGUUCUUGAGUUUUGCGUCUUCUCACAGUCAAAAGGAAUGUAAGAAAUAGGGCACGCUAACAUGUAGUUGAACAGGAGUUAGCUUGAAGAUGACCGGCGUAUUGUAUAUGUUUGGAGUUUAUUUACCCAUGACACAUGCAUAUCUAGAUUGGAGUCCAUUUUGCUGAUCACCUUUCUUCUCAAGGAAACCUACCUACGAGUGUAUGAUGCAUUAAGCGUCGAAUGAUUGGUGAAUUAUGUGGUGGUUUCCUCUCACAAAUGCAAGAAAAUCUCACUUUGCAUAUGUAGUUGUAUGUAAUUGGCUUGAUGAAUUUUGUUUCUUGUACAUUAUCCAGCAUAAUCUGAAUCUUUAUCGGAUGAGAGAGCUCCUAGGUUUUGUAGUUUUAGGUGUCCUGCCAUACAAUCAUUUUAAUUUUUAUUGAUAAUAUUUUGUUCUUGCUGUUAAAACCCAGGGGGUGCUAUGAACCGCAGCAGAUUCAAGAGAUAAAAACAUACAUCGCUAGGAUUCCUUGGUUUUAUAUUUAUUCUGAGAAAUUAAUUUACCAACUUUAGAAAUGUGCAGAAGAAUAGUAAAUAUUUCAUAUAUGUUUUUUUAUAUUUAAAUAUUGGAUAUAUGUUUAGGUGAGACAUAUACUUUAGUUCUUAAUAAUUAACAAGCAUGAGUUAAUUAUUAAUAAUAUUCCAAUGUUAGAUGAGGUUUGAAUCUCCCCUUAUUAUUGGAAAAAAAAAAUCAUGUUAUUGAAAAAAAGCAUCACAAUUUGAAUAUGCCAGCCUUGACUAGCUUAGCUCAGAAAACUUGAUCCCACUUAGAUAUGCAUGCAAACCUGUUGUUCAUGUUAUAAAAAUAACCUGGAAUAUGUAUGAAUAUUGAGCUGCACGUAAAGUAGAUGAGACACAACAUUUAACGAGGUUCGGCUAUGCCUACGUCCUCGGAGAGCAGCAGCAGUAACUUUUUCACUAUAUAAAAUAAUAGGGCUACAACUUUAGAGUUUACAAUAUGUGAGGCUCACUGAAUUUUCUCUCUCUUUCCUCUUCUAUCUUUCCUCCUCUUUUUCCUCUUCUUUCCUCUUCUCUUUUCUCUUCUCCCCUUUCUUUCUUUUCUCCGUUGGUCACUCUUCCCAUUGCAAGUGAUAUGCCUAUUUAUAGGCUAAGGUUUUGGUAAAAUACAGGGAAGGGAAGAUUCCUGGAACAUGCAAGGAAACUUCCUGAAUUGAUAAAUACAGGGAAGGAAAGUUCCUGGAAGAUGCAAGGAAACUUCCUGAAUUGAUAAAUACAGGGAAAGGAAAGUUCCUGGAAGAUGCAAGGAAACUUCCUCUGUGGGCUCCACCUUCAAACUUUUACAACACUCCCCCUUGGAGACCACAAAUGAUAUGGAAUAUGCCUCGUUAAAAACCUUGCCAGUAAAAACCCAGUGGGACAAAAACUGGUCGAAGGGAAAAAGAGUACAUAAUCACGUGUAACAUAAAAUUCUGUGUAUAUUGACGCGCGUGCGACACUGCCUCGUUAAAACCUUGCCAUGAAAAACCCAGUGGGAUAAAAACCUGGACGAAGGAAAAAGAGUACAGUGUGUAAGGGUCUGUAUUGACAGCACGCUCCCCCUGAUGCUUGGCAAAAUAUCUUUAAGCCAUACUGUUGAUCAUCUGUCUGAAUAUCAUAGUUGACACUGCUGCUGUGAGUCAAUAGUGUAUGAAGGUCUUUAUUAAUACCAUGCUCCCCCUGAUGAAUAUCUCCCCCUGAAAACUUCAUGACUAGCUUUUUCCAGUAAGCGACCAUAGAGAUUUCCUGAGUCCGCAUAUCUUAGAACAUUUGGGCUAUUUAUAAGUUCACUAAAAAAUAUGCCCGUAUAUGGUGUUAUGCUUAGAUAGCAUCAAAUAUACCUCACAUCAUCCCAAAAUGAUGGUGAUGGAGUUGAGCCCUAUCUGAAAAAUAUGAUGUCCGGUCCAAUAUACUUCCGGAAAAUCAUUAAAGUGUCCAACGGAUAAUCCUCAUAAAAAUACUUUAAUACUUUCUUAGUAUAAGCAAGAAUUUCGUUGGCAUAAUGCUCGAUCGAGACAAAUAUUUCAUGAAUUCUGCAGAAGCUUUAAUGUGUUGCAAUCACAUUAUAAUCAAUGUACUCACUGAGGUAAUUUAUGCAUAUUAAUAUUGAGUACAAAUUUUGUGCUUCAAGCACAUUGUCCUUUAGGGACUUGCUCUAUGCAAUAUCAAUCCUCUCAACGGAUUUUGGUUAAAAGGGAUUAAACUUUAUGACACAUUAUAUAGCUUUUACCCAGCUAUUUAUACAUCCUUAGGAAAUCGCUUCUGGCGAUAUGCUCUGUGCAUUAAUAACCCUUAAAGAUAAUAUGUUGGUCUCCGUAAUUGUGUAAUAAGAGGGGCACAAUUGAAUCUGUAAAUAUGGAGAAAACCCAACAUUCCUUGUUUCUGCCAGAAACAGUGUGUCAUACAAAGUAGGUAUAUUCCCUUUUAUUCCGAACACCCAAGUAUAACUUUCAGUAUUAACAAAUUUUGGGGUUCGUAUUGUGGGUUUGUUCUUUCACGUUCAUUCUCAUUUAUAAUGGAAUUACCUCGUUCCAUUUUGGCCAAUGAUAUUGUCGACAUUUAAUAAUUGAACGUGGUUCCAAUCAACACAGCCCAUUGAUGAUUUGAGUAGCUACUCCAAAACCAAAAAUUGUCAUUCAUCAAUUCAUGAUAAAAAAUUGUCAUUCAUCAAUUCAUGAUUCCACCAUUCUCAUGUGCAUGCGCAUGCAUCAAUUAUAAGCAUUUCUUUGCUUUUGGGUACCCAAGCCACUUCAGGGGGCUUUUAUUAUGUGAGAAUGUGGAUUAUAACCUCCAAUGGAGCGUUAUUUUACAGUAGGGCGUGGAUAAUCUCUAUUUAGAGAGUUGGAACAUUUAGAACCCAUAUAUCUGUCAUGCUGCAGACAUGCCACAGAUUAAUACAUACAUGUCAAUUAAUUUCUGGGACUUUAACCCAUAUUAUGGGACUUUAACCCAUAUAAUUUGCUACGCAUUAGGCGUGUAUAAUAUCAAUAUUGACAUGUCAAAGGAUUGUCCUUUCGGGACUUCAAUCCAUAUCAUUUGCUACGCAAUAGGCAUGCAUCAUAUUGAUCACUGCUAUACCCAUAUUUUGUUCUUAUGGGACUUUAAUCUGUGCAGUGUAUUAUCAAUGUAUCCAACUUGCAAUCUGUAAAAUUUGCGUUAAUAAUUCAUGGAUACAUACAAGCCAUUCUUUUGGAACGGACUUAUCUCCCCAUUUGGUUACCUUUCAAUAUCAAAUAGGUAUAUAAGCAUAAAAUAACACAAGUAUUGCUUACAUCCUUAGGUGGGAGAAACUUUUCUCAAGUAUCAUUCAAGCUCAUAUCAGCCUAGUAAAUAUAAUGUAGCGCUUGAUGGUCUAGUUAUAUCCUGCAAGAGCAAAAAUCACAAUUCUCUUCUCUGUCAAAAACAAAUAACUCUCAGAGUUAGGAUCACUGCAUGGAUUCAUUCUUCAGAUGUUCAUUCUAAAGAAAUAAAAUCUCUUAUGAACAGAGAGUUAUAAAAAGAGAAAAAAUGCAAAAAGAUUGUGAUAUUAAUUGCAAGGUAAGGUAAGCAAUCAAGGAAGGAAGCUGGUGGGAGCAAACAACAAGCUCUCAUUUCUCCUAGUCUAGAAAGACCUCAGGAGAUUGGAGCAUAAGGUCACCUUCACAGUUCCCUAAUGUAGCGGAAACAUGAUCAGGGAUAGUCUUGCUUCCUGAAUGUGUGAUCAGAGAUAGUCUUGCUUCUCAGGCAUAUUAAGUGCUCACUGAUAAGAAAAACAAGUAGAUAUCGCAUCACUAGGUAUGGAGAAAACUGGAUGUCUUCUGCAAAGAAAAUUUCGUUAGUAACACAUUUAUACACAAAUACAAUGAAUAGGUAGAAUCGGUGAAUUUCAAAUUAACCAUAGGAAAAUUGCGAGAUUCUCGGGAUACUUUUGAAAAAGUAGUUCCGUGAAAUCCGUAAAGCAAGAUCGGCUUUGAAAAUAAUACUUUGAAAAACGCCGAAAGUGCCGACAGGCAUUAUUAGAGGCCACGUGAAGUUUUGGACUCUGGGAAAGAAAAAGAUAAUAUGGGGAUUCGAGAAGAUAUUGCCGACAGGCAUUAUUAGAGGCCACGUGAAGUUUUGGACUCUGGGAAAGAAGAAGAUAAUAUGGGGAUUCGAGAAGAUAUUGGGGUCCUGAAAAGUUGCCACAUUUUCGUCUAUAGAUAUUGCCUUUGCAAACUGCGUUUCAACUCAAUUUCCUUCAUUUUCCGAACCUUUAGUUUUUCUAAGACUUUCUUCGAAACCUUCUUAAAAAAAAUGGCUUCCUCUUCUUCCUGCCCAAAUUAUUUCAAUUUAAAUGAUGCUCCCACAACAACCAGUGACGCCCAAGUUUGGCGUCCAUCCUUUGUAUCCAAAAAUCGUCAUCUCACAGUUAAUGAUUCUGUGAUGAUGAAUGAUGCUACUGCUGUCAUAGUAGCUAGGAAUUUCAUUAUUCCAAUGGAUGAAAUGUUGUUGACAGGGAGAUCAGAGGAAGAGGCUAUUGAUGACUCAAUGGCUUUUAGCAUUCAGAGUGCUGUUUCUGUUUCUAACAUGGCUGAUCGUUUGCGUGCCAGAGCAAACGAGGUUGAGAGGUUAGCUACUGAAAAUUCGUCUCUCCAAAGAAUGCUUCAUGAGUCUCAACAGGAGGUUGAGAAACUUAAAGGAGAGAAUAAUACCUUGUUGAAACUGGUGAGUUCGUACUCUAUUGAUACACUGAGAAGGCUAGACAUGCUGCAGGUCUCCAAUGAAAGAAUUUUGGGAGACCACGAGAAGCUCAUGGCUAAGCUUAAGAGGCGCCGUCAUCUUCCUGCAGAGGCUUCCAGAACAUAAUGUAAUUUUUUAUAGAUUUCACAGGGCCUGCACCUUCAUUGCAGGUGGAAAAAUCUAUCUGUUAUAUGUUCCUGUUAUAAUAAUUGCGCAUAUUCUUAAACUUGCACCUGUGGUUUUUACGUCUUUUCAAAAUGACGAUUUGGAACCUUGUGCCUUAUAGGUUCAAAUAACCACAUCGACUCUCCCAAAUUUCAUAUUUCAACGUAUGGUAGCCCGGAACUUAUGGCCUGGGCACAAACUCAGAAUUUAUUUGCCCUUUUCAAAUGGACAUGAAAUAUGAAUUGAGUAAAAGCCAUGAUAAUAUCGCAAUAUAGUAGUGAAGAGCAUUAACUACUAUAUACCCACAACUUCAAGUUUAGGAUCUCUCAUAUAUUUGGAUCCAUGGGCUUCCGGCCCAGAUAUAACAAAAUAUGGGGGAGUCUCAAUUCAUUUAUUUGAGGUUUAUAUUAAUAUUAUCCAUUUCGCGGUGUAUUCUUAACAACCGGAAUUCACAAAAUAUAUUUCUUCCUUGAGGUGUCGAUUAUAACAAAAUCGAACUUUAAAUUCAUCAUCUUCUUAUGCCAAAGAAAUAUGUGGCAUACCACAAUUUGCAAUAAUACAUCAAGGGUUGUCCAUUUAAUUGUUGGAACUUCAGGUUCUCAACACUGUUAAAUUUUGAACUUCAGGUCAAAGCCACAUAUUUCGGGAUUUCAAGCCCUUACAUAAUUGUCCAUAUUUUGAGGAACUUCUGGCAUCUCAUUUAAUUGCACAUCCAUGAGUUUAAGGAACUGCAGGUUCCCUUUUGUAUAUAGUGACGGUUUACCCAAAAUGGUUAAUAUUUAUGCAUACGUCACUAUUCAUGUGAAUAGUACUAUUCAUCAAGUCAUGAAUACAUAUCUAUUCAUCUGCCAGUACAGUUAUCAUCAAUGUGUACGGCACCAUGAACCAAUACGGUAUUGUUACAUCAUUAAGGAACUCUAGGUCCUUAUUUACAUGUCGGGAUCAAGGACCUUUAAGUCUAAUCACAUGUUUACAAAUACAGUACCGGAGAGACUGCCAGCUCUCAUAUCAUCAUCAAGGAUCUUCAAGUCCUAAUUUAAUUGUAUGAUGAGGAUCAAGGAACUUCUGGUCCUGAUCUGCAUACUAGAAAAACUCAUCAUACAGCACAAUUAAUCCAUAAAAUAAAUUGCUGAUAAAUAAAUUACUGGUAUGGACGAUAAACCCGCACCACACUUUAAAUAAAUGUAAAUGUGCGGUAAAUUAAAUUCAUAAAUUAAAUUGCUUGCUGUAUGGACGUUAAUCCCGCACCAUACUUUAAAUAAAAUUAAAUGUGCGGUAAAGUAAAUUGUGCUUGUAUGGGCACUAAUUCUGCUCCAUACAUUUAAAUAAAAGCAAAGGCGUGGACGAUAAACCCGCACCACCCUUUUAAAUAAAUACUGUUGUAUGGGUAAUAAACCUACACCAUACAGUAAAUAAAAUAAAUAUACGGUAAAAUAAAUUUGCGAUAAAGUAAAGGUGCAUGUAUGGGUAAUAAACCUACACCAUACAGUAAAUAAAUGUGGGGUUAAAACCACCACCGAAUAAAAUAAGAAAAAAGUUAGUAUUAGUAACGGUCUCCCACUGAUAAUAUGUUUAGUAUUACCAAGGGUCCAUUUUUGUUAGUGGUUAGCAAGGGCGGAUCCACAGAGGAGCAAGGGUGGUCAAUUGACCCCUGCAACCUCUGAAAUCCUCCAUUAGAGAAGCCAAACUUGACCCUCGCAAAGUGUUCGAUGAAAUGCCCCAAAGGGGCAACCUGUGUGCAGCUGGGUGGGACUAUAAGUGCUGGGCUUUCGAGGCUGGGAGAUGGAGAGGAGGGAUGAGAAGGAAGAAGAAGAAGAAGAAUGUCUCAUUUGGUGGUGGUGGUGGUGGAAAGCAGCAGCUGCUGCUUGUGGCUGGAGGUCGUGAGCUUGAUGAUGUGGCUGCUGUCAAUGCGAAGGAGCUCUCGAACCAAGUCCUAGACUAAGCACAAAGUGAUGGGCAUGUACUGGACUAAACAAAAACUUAAAUAAUAAAAAUGGUAGGCAAGAUACUGAUGCAAUGCUAAGCCCAAAGUGAGGGGCAUGUAAUUGUAGCAACAAAAAACUAAAAAAAUAAUAAAGAAAAGUAGGCCAAAUGCACGGACCACGGGUUGGUCCAAGUCUUUUUUUUUUUUUUUUUUUUUUUUUUUUUUUUUUUUUUUUUUGGGGUCAAACGGGCUGGUCUAAGUCUCUAACUCAAAAAUAUGUUCAUUUAUUUUUCAGGUAAUUAAAAGUAUGUUCAUUUUCAUUAAAUAAGCAAGCACACAAAUCCAGAAAUUUUAAAAGACAGAGAAAGUCAUGGGUGUGUAGCUGAAGGUGGAAAGUCAGAAAACACACACGAAGUGGAAAUUACGGAGACGGAAAGCCACAAUGCCACAAUGUGAAGCUCGAGGGUCAUAAUCGACGUCUAUAAAAGAAAACAAUGGGAGAAAAACUAUAGCUCCACCAAUUUUCUUCCUUUCCAUUUCUCUCGAUUUAAACCUAUCUCUUCAAACUCAGAAAUAAAAUGGCAUCUUCAUUUCUAUUUUCUAUCGAUCUAAACAUAGCUCCGCCAACACAGACAUGGGGGCAAUGAGCCGCACCUGUAAGACGUUGACCCUUGCAAACAAAAUUUCUAGAUCCGCCACUGGUGGUUAGUAGUAUAGAUAAUAGUGCAGCACAAAAAUUAUACCUGAGAGCUUCUCGUGCUGAUAACGUGUUAUAAAAAUAACCUGGAAUAUGUAUGAAUAUUGAGCUGCACGUAAAGUAGAUGAGACACAGCAUUUAAUGAGGUUCGGCUAUGCCUACGUCCUCGGAGAGCAGCAACAGUAACUUUUUCACUAUAUAAAAUAAUAGGGCUACAACUUUAGAGUUUACAAUAUGUGAGGCUCACUGAAUUUUCUCUCUCUUUCCUCUUCUAUCUUUCCUCCUCUUUUUCCUCUUCUUUCCUCUUCUCUUUUCUCUUCUCCCCUUUCUUUCUUUUCUCCGUUGGUCACUCUUCCCAUUGCAAGUGAUAUGCCUAUUUAUAGGCUAAGGUUUUGGUAAAAUACAGGGAAGGGAAGGUUCCUGGAACAUGCAAGGAAACUUCCUGAAUUGAUAAAUACAGGGAAGGAAAGUUCCUGGAAGAUGCAAGGAAACUUCCUGAAUUGAUAAAUACAGGGAAGGAAAAGUUCCUGGAAGAUGCAAGGAAACUUCCUCUGUGGGCUCCACUUUCAAACUUUUACAACAGUUCACACAAGAAAAAUGCAAUGUAAAUUAAAUAACCAGUGAAAAUCGAUCAAAAUUCAUCACACCAGACAGUGGCACUGUCUCAAUCAGUAUGUUGGAUGGCAAAAAAUACUGGUUGAUUUUAUAUAUCCGAAUCUGACCAAUCAAAUGUAAAGCUAGUCAUUUCAUGUGAUUGAACCAACUACUUCCACGUACUCUCAAUCCCAGUGACAUAUUUAACUAAUAUAUUAGUACAAUAGCAAUUUAUAAAAAUUAAUAAAUAUAUUAUUUUAAUUUCCGUAUACGUGACUAUCAUGAUCCCCACUGAGAUCUGUCUAAGAGUUGGAAGGUUUCAGACUUCCAGCAAUACUACUUGACAUUGGAUAACCAGAAUAAUGAGGAUGGAAGUCUUUAGAGGAACCACAGUAGAAAUCAACCAUGAAAGAUGGUGCUUAUAUCCAACAAAAGACAAAACCUCCUGAUUACAACCCAACUAGUGGUAGAUCUAGGAUUCUCGAUCUAAGUGGUCAAAAAGUAAAAGUGUUGAAAUUUUUUUAAUUAAAAAAAACACUAAAAAGCAUAAAGAUAGAACAUUUAUUUAAUUAUCUAAAAAUUAGAAUAUGAGUACGUAUACGGAAAUUAAAAUAAUAUAUUUAUUAAUUUUUAUAAAUUGCUAUUGUACUAAUAUAUUAGUUAAAUAUGUCACUGGGUAUAGACUAAAAGGUUUAAUUAAAAAACAUUUGGGCCAAACCUUUUAAAAAGACCUAUAGGUUAUUAAUAAACAUUUGGGCCAGACUUAUACAUGGCCCAGACUUUUUUAAAAAACCUAGAACUAGUGAAACGGUGAGUUUAAACUAAAAUGAGGCAUAAGCUAGGCAAAUCACCGACAUCAUCUUCUUCGCUGUCUCUGCAACCCAAAAAAAAUUCAAGUCGUGGUGCUGCCAGAUCCGAGCAGCUGCGUCUGGAAAAAGUUUAGAGAGCAGCGCAAGGCAAGCCCACAGGGGACUUUCAUCGCGCACCUUGCACACAAGGGGUCGCUCAGCUAACGGCCAAGGGGUCGCUGGUGGAGUCCACGGCUAGAUUUCCUGCAUUCCAAGGGGUCGUGUGACCCCUCUUGUCCCAACGUGCGUCCGCCACUGUGGAGGACUGGGUUGAAAAUGAACAAUUAUGUAAAACCCUUGAAGGGUUUUGGCUAUGGGGCAGUUGGGCACAUGGGUUUUGGUGAGAUUGGAUUGAUGGUGGGAUUGGAGUGAGUUUCUGUGAAACUUGUGGGUUUAUGGGAACUAUUCUGGCGAUUGGGGUUAUGGGUUUUCUUGCUCUGAACAGUGAGCUAAUCAUUUCAAGGGAAGGAAGAAGAAGAACUGCUUGAAACCACAAAAUAAAUCAAGAAAUUGGUCUUUAGUUUUGCAGCUAUUUUUAUUCUUUGGAGUAUUACAAAAGGGGCUUACUCACUUGGUUGGUACUGCUCUCAAUCCUCAACCUGAUGACGCAUGGUCUCAGGCUUCAGCACAUUGAAGCUCACAGAGUUCUGAGUAUUUUGCUUCGUAUAUGAAGCCCUUCUCUCGUCUGGACCUAUUGAGGCCGUUGGAUAUAUCUGACGGUUGAUUUGCAAAAUAUUUUUCACAAUACCGGUAAUACCCUUGGUACUCUUUCAAACUGACAUAGCCUAUCCCCGUGUUUCUCUACUGGACGGAAAGGGAGGGCUUUCACCUCGCAAGUUAACUGCUUUCUCACUCUCACAAGCUCACAAGCUCGUAAGCUUCAUUCUCUCUCAACUCUGGCUUCUUCAUUCACGUAAAGGUAAAUAAUCAGUCUCUUUAAAAUCUUUUGAUUUUAGGGUUUUCAAUCCUCUCAGUUUUUUUUGUUUCUGUUUUUGUUUUUUUAUAUAUGGGGAUUUCUGUUUAUUUAUUUAUUUUUUGGAGUGAUUUUGAGAUUCUGUAAACGGAGGUUUAUGGGUUUUGUAAUUUGAUUGAUUUAUGCUCAAUGGUACUCUGCAUUACAUUAGUUUUGAGGUCAGACUCAAAGUUCCAAGCUAGGGUUUUCAAGCGGGUUUGAAUUUUCUGUUUUUGUUUUGGGUUAUUGUGGAUUCUGUAUACAAUGCUUCAUGGAUUUUUAAUACUAAUUUUCCUAUGCUCAACCUGUGAUGGUGUUCUUCAUUUUGUUAGUUUGGAGUUUGGAUUCAACGUUCCUAUGUAGGGAUUUUUUCGCUGGAUUUUGAUAUCUGAGGAUGCCCUGUUAUUAAUUUAGCUUCUUUGAGGCUUCUUCAAGUUGUUUCAAGUUUGUUUACAAUUGAGUUUGUUUUAAGCUUCUCCUGCGUCAAAUGGAUGCCCAGAGUUUCUUGCCCCAUUGUAUGCCCCAUAAUAGGUCCCAUUCUUCUACCCUUUCCCGGGAGUCGAUGACUAUUCGUACAUAGCUAUUACCUUAACACCAAAGAAGAGUUUCAACCAAUGCUUUAUUUCUGUGUCCUAGUUGAUCCUGAUUCGACAUUAGAAGUAUAUUGAUUUUUUCCCAAUAACCGAAUACUUUUGUCUGUAAAUACUGCAUAUUUACACAUGCACAGGACAUGGUUCAAAUUAGUUUAGAAUCCUAUGUGUAUAGGAGUGAGAUCGGUAUCUUGUUAAUUGGCCUUUCUCUUUUUUUUUUUCUAUGCAAUUAAUUUGUAAUUAAAACAAAUAGUUUUUAUGAUACAAAAACUUCAUCUUGGUUUGCAAUUUGCAUAAAGAAGUUACCCCUUGAUCUUAUUCUCUAUUGCCCCUUUGGCCCAAAUCCUAUGGUUUUGCUUAUUAUGCUUCAUUAACCUAGGUUUUUCCUGCUUCAAAUCCUUGAAUCUUGCAUAAUCUUUUGCUCAGAUGCCCUUUUUUUUUUUCUUUUCUGAGAUACUUUAUCUAGUUCUUAUCUUGGUUCAAAAAUCCUAAAUUUGCAUACAUGUUUAGUAGGAUUUGAAGUAAGAAAGGGUUUUUUUUUUUUUUUUUCCUUUUUCCUUUCAUUGACUGAUUUUUUGGUUCAUUAACUCAAACGUGUCUUUUGCUCAUUGGCUUAUUUUUUGGUUCAUUAACUCAAAUGUGUCUUUUGCUCAUUGGGCAGUUGUGAUUUCUUGUUGCUCCGAAGUAUGAAUUUGGAGCUUAUAAGGUGGAAUUGUUGUGUUAGGUAGGUUCUGCGAAUAAGUAGAAGAGAUGAUUGCAGAAAAGCCCAGUUGGAUUAGGCACGAGGGAAUGCAAAUUUUCUCCAUUGAUGUUCAGCCUGGUGGACUUAGGCUGGCCACUGGUGGGGGUGACCACAAGGUGCGACUUCUCUCCUCCUUUGUGCUCUGUUUGCUUGCUUAGGAAAUGUAGGAAUUCAUUAAAAAGAAAAAUUAAUUGUGUUUUUUUUCCCUCCAAUAUAUCAGAAUCAGAAACCUGUACUCAUGGGGGGAACAUUACAAGUUUUCCCGUUCACUAUGUAUUGUUUCUCGUCAUUAUUGUUCUGUUUGGUUGGAAAAGUAUUAAACAGAUGGGACAUUUAAGUUUUCAGAGACCCUGGAAAAGAAAACCCCAAAAUACAUUUAUUUUACUUCGUUGUUAUAAUCUUCUAUUGUAUCCUUUGCCUUGUUUGGUUGGGAAAAUAUUGAACAGACCAGACAUUUGAGUUUUCAGAGACCCUUGCAAAGAAAACCCCAGAAUACAUUUAUAUUGCUUUUAUAUUGCUUAGUUUUUAGAAUCUUCAAUUAUAUCAUCUGCCUUGUUGGUGGAUAUUUUGAUGGACAUAGGUUGGAAUUUGUGUCUACUGUUGUGUUUGGAUUGUGAGUUUACAAGGGCUCUGAAUUCUUAUUAAAAAUUGUGCAAUUUAAAAGUAUUAAUGUUAUGGAAUCUACUAUUUGAAAUAGGGUGGAAUUCAAAUACGUCAUUUUAAAUUCACUCUCUAAAUCACACUAUUUUUUCCUCACAAUCUGUAACACGAAGUAAUAAAUCUCUGUUUUUUAUUUUUCCUGAUGUUUGAUUUAAACAAUUUAAACUAUGUAGUCAAAUACAUACAUACAUACAUAUAUAUACAUACAUACAUCAUACAUACACAUAUAUAUACAUACAUGCAAAUUGAUGGAUCUAUAUAUAUAUAUAUGCAAAUUGAUGGAUGUAUAUAUAUAUAUAUAUAUAUUUAUUUAUUUUAUGGGCGCCUUUGUUGCAUCACUUUGCAUGGCAUCAUUUGUUAUACUGUGGAAUUGAUUGCUUCGUCCCUACUUUGCCAACUACAGGUGCGAGUAUGGAACAUGAAAUCCCUUGGCAGGGAUUUGGAAAAUGAAGAAUCAUCCCAGAGGCUACUUGCAACUCUCCGUGAUCACUUUGGUUCUGUGAACUGUGUUAGGUGGGCUAAGCAUGGUAGGUAUGUUGCUUCAGGAUCUGAUGAUCAAGUGAUUCUAAUUCAUGAGAGGAAGCCUGGUUCAGGAACCACUGAGUUUGGUAGUGGGGAGCCCCCUGAUGUUGAGAAUUGGAAAGUUGCAAUGACUUUGAGAGGGCAUACUGCAGAUGUGGUAAUGAAAUUGCUUUUACCAUUUCGAUAGCUGGAUCACCUGAAACAAUUUCCUGCUUUCUAUAGUUUUUCGAAUGGAGUGUGUUUUGCUUCAUGACUACGAUCCACCUUUUGUUUUCAAAAAAUCAAGUCAUCUGGCUUUUGGGAUUACUUUGACCUGCAGUAAAUUUGUUUUUUGAAGUUACUGGAAGAGUGACAUAAUGUAUGGUUUUUUUCUUCAGCUGCCUUUAUGAAGGAAAAAAAUGGGGCUAAUUUAGUUGAUUUUCGUUUAUAUUCUCCUAAAUAAAUGCUGUGGAUUUGUAUAGUUCCUGGUGGGUCUUACUGAGGUGCUUUUUUUUUUCCAUGCUUAAAGUAGGUGGAUCUUAAUUGGUCUCCGGAUGACUCGAUGUUGGCCAGUGGAAGUUUAGAUAACACUAUACACAUCUGGAAUAUGAGCAAUGGUAUUUGCACUGCUGUUCUAAGGGGUCACUCUAGCCUGGUUAAAGGAGUUACUUGGGAUCCAAUUGGUUCAUUCAUAGCAAGUCAAUCAGAUGAUAAGACUGUAAUUAUUUGGCGAACAAGCGACUGGAGUCUUGCUCACAGGACAGACGGCCACUGGGCAAAAUCAGUAUGUCAAUCGUGUAAGUUUGUCUCUAUACAGGUUCCAAUAUCAUUGUCUAACAAGUGUUUGUUGUUUCAGCUUGGAUCUACCUUUUUCAGGCGGCUGGGAUGGUCCCCUUGUGGCCACUUCAUUACUACCACUCACGGGUUCCAGAAACCAAGGCAUUCUGCACCUGUCCUAGAGAGAGGGGAAUGGUCUGCUACAUUUGACUUCUUAGGACAUAAUGCCCCCGUGAUCGUAGUGAAGUUUAAUCAUUCAAUGUUUAGGAGGAAUAUUUCCAAUGCUCAGGAAAAAGCAGCACCUGUGGGGUGGACUAAUGGGGCUUCAAAGAUGGGUGGGAAAGAGAAAGAACCACAACCUUACAAUGUCAUUGCAAUUGGGAGUCAGGAUAGAACCAUAACUGUCUGGACAACUGCAAGUCCCCGGCCUCUCUUUGUAGCAAAGCAUUUCUUUACUCAAAGUGUUGUGGAUUUAUCCUGGUAUGGUUGCUAUUUCUAGAAAAAUGAUUUACCAUUAGGUUGUCUGCAUAUUCUUUUUCAUUUUGAUAUAGCAAAUUUUUAUUUUUUUUGUGUGUUGUUCUGUUCUGUAAUGUUAUUUUUCUUCUUAUGGAAACAGGAGCCCUGAUGGUUAUUCACUUUUUGCAUGUUCUUUGGAUGGGUCAGUGGCUACUUUCCAUUUUGAGGUGAAAGAGCUUGGCAAUAGGUUAACUGAUGCUGAACUGGAUGAAUUGAAGAGAAGUCGUUAUGGUGAUGUUAGAGGUCGGCAAGCAAAUUUAGCAGAAAGCCCAGCACAGUUAUUGCUUGAAGCAGCCUCUGCUAAGCAGGCCCCAAGCAAAAAAGUGGUUCUGGAUCAGCAAAACCAGACAGUUGUAAAACCUUCUGUUGAUGCAAGGGUUGCAACAAAAACUUCUGUUGAUGGUUUAAAUAAGGCUUCAUUGUCUGCCAGAAUUUCUAGUCCUGUGAAGCAGAGGGAAUAUAGACGGCCUGAUGGUAGAAAGAGGAUUAUUCCAGAAGCUGUUGGGGUGCCUCUCCAGCAGGAAAAUAUAUCUGUUGGGCCUCAGUCGCAGGCUCUUGACUUCCCUCCUAUGCCUUCUGAUAAAAAAAAUGAUGAUAAUGGGUUAGCCGCUGCUGAUAGUAGCAUUAGAGACAGUUCUGUUAGGGGAACGCUUGGUAGGAGCACUGAAAUAAAGGAGGGACAUGGGGUCACUGCUAGAGCUAUGAUUACCAAAAGCCUGGUUAUUGAGAAGGUUACCGCAUCCACAGGCAGAGAUGAAAGCAUAACUGUGGAGCAGUCGGGAAAUGCCAAGGCUUCUAGUUCGCUAGGCGCUUCUUGUUCCGCUCUUUCAAUUAGGGUGUUCGAUAAGAAAGAAGGGGAAGAUACUGUACCAAUUUGCUUGGAAGCUCAACCCCGAGAACAAGCUGCAAACGACAUUGUUGGCAUGGGAAAUACAUUUAUCAUGAAAGAAACAGAAAUUACUUGCACAAGGGGGUUGCAAAUUCUUUGGUCGGAUAGGAUAUCUGGGAAAGUCACUGUUUUAGCUGGAAAUGCAAACUUUUGGGCUGUUGGCUGUGAGGAUGGAUGCAUACAGGUUAGUAUAUAUCUCUUUCAUGCAUGUGUACUCAUUAAUUUUUGUUUUUUCUUCAUUUUUUUCCCAUGUUUAAACCAUUCUUAACAGAUAUAUUUCAAAAUAAGUUAAAUUCUGCAUAAUAUUCCUUGGUGGUUGCACUUCACAACAUCUUACUAUACAAUUGCAAACAUCUAAUAAAUGUUUUUUCUGUGAAUCACCAUUGAAGUCAAAGCAUUCUUUUGCAUUUGCAGCAUUUGAUAUUUAAAUGAUUGUUGUAGCUGAAGAAAGAUGCUAAUAUAGUUAAUAGGUUCAGAACUUCAAAUUUUUUUUUUUUCUUCCCUUUAAAGCCUAUUCAAAACCCUUAAAACUAAGGUUUUGCCAUCAUUGACUGGCUUAAGCUCUUGGUUUGAUAUGUGAUUCGUUGUACUGGAAGAAGAGAGUGAGUUUAAAGGAUGAAGGUUAAAGAGAUGCAGAUACUUGAUAUGCUAUUUUAAGCGUAUUUUAUUUUUCAAUGAUUUCUUUAAUGGGAUCUUCCAAAUUGGAUUAUAUUUCCAAUGCUCAAAGGACAACAAUUUUUAUUCUUAAUUAGCAUGACUCUGUUAGUCUAUGCACCAACUUCACUCUGGCGGUCAUGACAAGCAUUAUGACAUUUAUGUUCGUUAUAGUCAUAUGCAGACGUGAAAAUACCACUAAGCUUGCUUGAAGUGGUUGGAUAUAUAUAACUUGUCAACUUUUUGGUCUCCUUGAGUAGGUUUACACAAAAUGCGGGAGACGUGCUAUGCCAACUAUGAUGGUAGGAUCUGCAGCAAUAUUUAUAGAUUGUGAUGAGUGCUGGAAGUUGUUUUUGGUUACAAGAAAAGGAUCCUUUUAUGUGUGGGAUCUAUUCAAGCGGAACUGUCUUCUUCAUGAUUCGUUGGCAUCUCUGGUUGCUUCAAACCCAAACCCAUCUGCAAAAGAUGCAGGUACCACAUUGAACUUGUCUUUUCAACACAUGGAGCGUCUUUUUUCAACUGUAGUUGCUUGAUAGCAUAGCCCAUUCUUGUCGGCAUUAUGUUUAGAUGUGCUUAACGUCCUGUCCACUGUGGCUGUUGGCUUUUAUACAUGCUUUCCAGGUGUGAUCAAAGUUAUAUCAGCAAAGCUAUCAAGAUCUGGUUCUCCUCUUGUUGUUCUUGCCACUCGCCAUGCCUUCCUCUUUGACAUGGGCCUGAUGUGCUGGCUUAGGGUUGCAGAUGACUGCUUUCCUGGGUCAAAUUUUUCAAGCUCCUGGCAUUCGGGUUCAACUCAGAGGGGUGAGCUGGCAGCUUUGCAGGUUGAUGUUCGGAAAUAUGUGGCCAGGAAGCCAGGUUGGAGUAGGUGUGUACUAAAAUUGCGGAAUUGUUCAGAUAAUAUUAAUAUGUACUGACCGACACAUUGCAGUUUAAUAUCUUGCUCUUGGAAUUGAUCCAGUUGUAUUUUCUUAUAGGGUGACUGAUGAUGGAGUGCAGACACGUGCUCAUUUGGAAGCUCAGUUGGCUUCUUCACUGGCUUUAAAGUCCCCUAAAGACUAUCGUCAAUGCCUUCUUUCAUACAUACGCUUCCUUGCGAGGUAUUUAUUUUUGCCUCCCUUGUGCAUAUAUUAGUAAAUAUACCUAGGUGUCCUUCCUUGCACUCUGCUGCUCCUCUUUUCCUCCUCUUUUUCUCUGAGUUGCUCUAUUCGCACAUACAUAACACGUUGCUAGUAAUGUUGUUAAACUCUUUCAUUAUUACAUAUAAUGUUCAUUGGUGGUGCUUCUCUUUGACUUCUACUAGCAUGCUCUGCUUCUGCUUUUUUCUGUUGUGUCAUCGUCUUUUACCCUUUAUUUGAUUCAUCAAUAUCUUCUACAGAAGAAAACAUAAGGUGUGCAAUUUGUUUUACCAAGUUUGACACUGAAAGUGUGUUAGAAUUGAAUACUUGUAAGACAUUCUUUCAACCCCGUCUCUCCUUCUCUUUCUCCCUCUUGUUGUUUGAAAUUUCGUGCAUGCUCACGCACCGAUGUUGUCAGCAGUGUAUAACUAAGAGAUAGAUGUGUUGAUACAGCCUUAAAUCUGAAAUACCCCUUCUUAUUCUCGUUUACUAGAGCUUCUUUAUUAGUUUUUUUUUUUUUUUGGUCACCUGGGGGGUUCUAAAAGUCUAUUCUUAAGAUAUGAUGUCAUAUAUAUAUAUAUAUAUAUAUAUAUAUAUAUAUAGGGUCAGGAUCAGGGGACACACAUUUUUAACACAACUUUUGACACACUUUUAAGACCUUUAGAUCUAACCACUUUCAACGGUGGAGAUGAAUGCUAAUAUAACUUUUUCACUAUUACACCUUGUAUUCUUCCCUUUUCGGGAAUGUCAAUAUUUAAUAGCUUUUUCAGCUUCUUUUUUCUCUCUCUUUCCUCCCUCCCUUGUUUUCUCUCCCUUUAAAACCUUUUCUUCUUCUCUGACAAAAACAAGACCCUUCUUCUUCCCUUAUUGUUUCUGCGAAAAUCCUUGUUGUAUUCUGGAAAAACAAUGAGGUAGAUGGUGGUCUCACCCAUCCGCAUAUACACUUCCAAUAAAAAAAUUUUGCCUUAUCUUUUGUGUUAUGAAAGUUAUCAGAAAAAGAGAAAGACAUUAGAAGAAUUCACAAUCACAAUACUAUGGCCAAACUUCAGGAGAAGAAAGAUUGAAAGAGGAACCACCUUUGAAGAAACGAAAAGAAAUAAAACAGAUACAAGACCCAACCCUGUCCUGCCCUCUCCUUAUGCAUCAUUUGAAAAAAUUGGCACAACACACCAAAGAGGAUUGUCAUGCCUUAGAUAAUCAGACUGUAGAUGUAUCUUGCAGGAACUAGGACAAAUCCAAAAUAUAUUUGUUUAUAGUCUGAUGGAUUACAAAGAUUAAGAGGAAAAUGAAAAUUGAAAGUUUGCAGUUUUGGGUGCAUGUCAUCCAUGUAUUACUUCAUCAUUUCCAGAAUGGCACAAGAAAAUAUUUUACAGGGAAGAAAUUAAGGAGAAGAAGAAGGAUUUUAUUAUAAAAUAAAAUAAAAACAGAAAACACGGGAGAGAAGUGAUUAAUUAAAUUGAAGAAGUUAUCCUUAUCUUCAAUAUAAAAAAAUAAAUAAAUUUGUAAUAUAAGUUUCUUUUUUACUUUAAAAAGAAAAUAAAAGAAAUUAAAUUGAAGAAGUUAUCCUUAUCUUCCAAAUCCAGAUUAGAAACAAGAUUUUAACUUGAUAAGAAAAGUCUGUAAAACUUUAUGUAUAUUUGGGUAAUAGCUAGGUCAGUAGAUUGAGGGGAUGCUCCCAAAUGAUUUAUAUUUAGCUAACUUUUUCUUGCAGGUCAAGAAAGAAAUGGGUAUGAAAACUCAUCCUUUGAAGAAAGAAAACUCAUCCUUUGAAGAAAGAAAACUCAUCCUUUGAAGAAAGAAAUCCAUGGCUGUUCACUUCAUAUCGUACUCCUCCAGCUCAAAUAAAAUGUUUUUUAGAAAACUAUUUCUUUUGAGAACAUAUUAAAUUAAACAAGGUUUCUCAUUGAAAUUUGUGAGGAGAGGUGCGAGAGAAUGGCUUAUUUCCAAGGGAAAUUAAUCAUAUAGUUGUGGGUAUUGACCUUUUUUUCAAAUGCAAUCUUAGCCAUUAAAACUGCUUUAAUCUAAAGGUUGAAAAUGUGUGUCUAAAUUUGUGACUUUGUGUGUGUAUAUAUAUAAUUUGUGUGUAUGUAUGUAUGUGUUUUUUAUGAUGUUUAUGAUCUUUAGCAAUCCUAAACUUUGAUGCUUUUUAACUUUAGUCUCUGUAGCAUUAUACAUUAUAACUCUAUGUUUACACUGAUUUCAGAGAAGCAGAUGAGUCUCGCUUACGAGAAGUCUGUGAGAGUUUCCUUGGACCUCCAACUGGGAUGGUGGAGGAUACGCCUUUAGAUCCAAAGAACCUGGCAUGGGAUCCUUAUGUGCUUGUAAGGCUUUGUAUAACAAUUCUUUAGGUGUCUUUUGCUAAUGGGAUUUGAAUCCAAAAAAAUUUCAAUCCAUUUGCCCCCUAAUUUUCUCUUUUUUCUUUUGCAAUUUUCUUUUUGAGAUAUGACCCUAAUAGAUACUCCUCGUGUAGAGUCAGUACAAAUUUCUUUUAUUUUCUUACUCAUUCUGGUUGCUUGUUGAGGGUUAAGCAGUACCUGUGAUAAAUUUGUAAAUCUACUGUAGUUUCACCUGCAAUUUGGUUGAUUGCAGGGUGAAAUUGCAAUGGUGUAUGAUACAAUCUUAAGUAUCAGACUUGUUGCAAUAUACCCCGGCACAAACUCUUGCCAUCCAAUCUUUGCUACUUAAUUGUUACUAAUUUUUAGUUUUUUUUUAAGCCUUGAGAAGGUUUAUAUGCGUUAUUUACAUUUACCCCUUGUGUUUCUGCUUUUGCAGGGAAUGAGGAAACAUAAACUCUUACGAGAAGAUAUUCUUCCGGCAAUGGCUUCAAAUAGAAAAGUACAGCGAUUGCUUAAUGAAUUCAUGGAUCUCAUUUCCGAAUAUGAAAGCGCUGAAACAAAUCUAGAGAAAAGGUCUCAAACUUCACCAACAGCACGUCCACCAGCAGCUGAUCAAAUGGACUCCAUCUGGGACAAAUCAAAAGGACUCUGUCCCUGCUGCAACAGAUCAAAAGAAGUCUGUUCCUGCUUCAAUUGAUGAAAAGGACUCCUCCCAGUUAGCAGCAGAUAAAGAGAAUUCUGCUCAAGCGGCAGAAGAUACAGUUAAUUCAGAUCCACAAAUGAUCAAUCAAGUUAGUCUUGCUCCACAAGAUGCAGGUUCUUGAGUUUUGCGUCUUCUCACAGUCAAAAGGAAUGUAAGAAAUAGGGCACGCUAACAUGUAGUUGAACAGGGGUUAGCUUGAAGAUGACCGGCGUAUUGUAUAUGUUUGGAGUUUAUUUACCCAUGACACAUGCAUAUCUAGAUUGGAGUCCAUUUUGCUGAUCAC